Molecule: RNA transcript, 1463 nt
Organism: Rhododendron vialii
Lineage: Eukaryota; Viridiplantae; Streptophyta; Magnoliopsida; Ericales; Ericaceae
Exons: 7
Source: RefSeq, a predicted model, not a curated record
UGCAGGAAUGUUAUGUCCUAGCAUUUUCAUUGCAUGUAAAAGUAAACUUUAAGAAUGAGUAUCAUAGUCUCUCACCUGAUCCUCUGCAGGGAUGUGACCGUAUUAGUCAGUAUGUGCCAGCAAUUUGAGAUCCUAUGUUUAGAUUCCUUUGUAAUGACAUCAUAAUUUCCUGGCUUCUUUUUCUGAUUUUUGUACGAAGCCAGUGUUCAAAUGUUGUAUUGACUGUAUUGUUUCCUUUUUGUUCUCAGAUGCCUGGUCCAUCCUUUCCAUUAAUUGGUUCUGUUGGUGCACAACCUGGGCCACAUAUAUCUUCUUCAAUGCAGCUUCAACAGAAACACCAAAUCCGUUUAGACGGUAACAUCAUCUAACUACAUGAAGCCUCUUACUUCUACUGGAGGGCAACCUUCACUCGUUUCCGCAAGUGAUGCACCUAGCAUUCAAAAGCCCCAGAGUUCAGCAAGUGUUUCUUCUGUGCUAUCUUCCUUUAUUGGUUUUACCCGUCCAUCUCGAGCAAUUACCUCAGCAAGAUUUGGCUGUGCUUUAAACAUUGAAGCCCUUGUUGCUGCUGCGGAGAGAAGAGAAACUCCCUUGGAGGCUCCAGCAUCAGAGAUUCAGGACAAGAUAUCAUUUAUCAUUAAUAAUCUAUCUUCUACAAAUUUUGAAGCUAAGGCCAAGGAAUUUUCUGAAAUUUUGACUGAGCAGUACUAUUCAUGGUUUGCACAGUACAUGGUAAUGAAAAGGUGCCUAUAGGGUUGGAGCUUAUAAAAUCAAGUUCAGAAGAGCGUUCCUUGCCUAAAGAACCUAGGAAGUUGGCUUGGGAAGAUCCCAAUUGGCAGAAAUCAAGUGUUGAGGGCACGUGAGAUUGAUCCAAAUCGUUGAUCAUAGAGGCAUAUGAAAAGGGUUUGAUGAUUGCUGUAAUCCCAUUCACAUCCAAGGUUUCUUUCUUCAACAGAUCUUGUCCUUGAAAGCCCUCCACCGCUGCCGCCAACAACCACCAGCUUACGCCACCUCCGGCGCCAAAAGCCAGUGUCGCCACCGCCAACCACCAAGUACUGCCACUGUUUGGAAUUUGAGUUUAGGUUUGGGUUUGAAUCAACAUUAAAUUUUGGUGAUUUGAUGUUGGAUUUGAGUAGAACUCAAAUUUGAGUUGAGUUUGAGUUUGAGUAAGGACUAGAACACCAAAAAGAGUGUUUUCACUCAAAAAAAUUCUGGUUUUGAGUUUAAUACGAAGGAAAAAAGGAAUAUUGAAAAGGUGUAAAUAAAGCACUAGGCUUAAUCUCUCAAUUGGGUCCGGAAAAACUUGAACAUUGUAUGAAGCUCAAUGAGUAGAUGUAAGCUUUUAUCUGUAUCAAAUAUGUGGCUUUAUUUUGUUGGGGAAAAGCCUGUAUAGUUAGGUGGUUUACUAUUGUGCUUUUUUUCUUUUUAUAUUUUAUUUCAAAGCAAUGAUGAAACGAGAUGGUGGC